UGGCCGUCAUACCUCUGAGGCACUGCUACAUAACCGAAGAGCUUACAGAACGCAGAUGAAAACCACUGGUCUAGAGCCAAUGUAGAGGUCAGGUGACUCCUCUCCUCACGCAUCAGGCAGUAGCUACACGUUCUGCCAGCAAAACUCAUUCAACCAGACUAUCUAACAUUCUAGACAAAUUCGGCUACCCGCUCAAAUUGCCAGAAUAGCUCCUGAGUGGUCCUCAAGCAUUUAGGAACUUUCUUUUACAAUCCUGUACAUCAUUGCAAGGAUCAUUGUGGUAAGAACCCAUAAAGUUACUGGAGAAGGGUGUGUCUCUCAUAUCUGAGUACUUCACAGAAAUAUGCAUAUUUAAGACUCAAGCAAAUAUGUGUCCACAUCUCCAUUUUAUAAUUUUCAGAGUCCCUCAUAUUUUUCCAUUAAAACACAGAUCACAGUAAGUAUAUGUAAUUUCAUAAUUUUAUUUAUUAAUAUAUCUCCACAAUA
This 486-nucleotide long non-coding RNA is filed under the name Pan troglodytes (chimpanzee). RNAcentral describes it as "lncRNA (ENSPTRG00000053115.1)". Lineage: Eukaryota; Metazoa; Chordata; Mammalia; Primates; Hominidae. The record is from RNAcentral.